RNAcentral lists this long non-coding RNA (1002 nucleotides) under Fukomys damarensis (Damara mole-rat). Its description in RNAcentral is "lncRNA (ENSFDAG00000024605.1)". Lineage: Eukaryota; Metazoa; Chordata; Mammalia; Rodentia; Bathyergidae. The record is from RNAcentral.
CGCUGGCCUCCGAGAGCGAGACGGAGAAGGUGUCAAGGCGCUCGCGGAAGGAGGAGGAGAUGGGCCCGGGGCGGGCAGGGAGGGAGUCAGAGUCUGACAAGUUACGCAGAGUCGCACAGCGCUGACGUCUGUGAGUUGAGUCCGACCAGGCGUCCCCGACCCAGAGGUCUGGGCCAUUUUCUUCUGCCUGCGCUCUUGCUGCCACUCGUCUCUUCGUCCCGUACGUCGGAUAAGGGGCUUGGAUUUUCCCUUGAACUCGGUUUACCUCUGAGCUUCUUGUCCAGCUCAUCGCACAGCCUCUGCGGCCAGAGGCUCUGGGUUUGAGUCCCACCUCCACCAGCGCUGGCUGGAUGACCGCAGAGCAGCAGGGCCUGCUUGCUUAGCGUGUGGCUCCAGGAGUCGGUCCGUCUGCGUGGCGUCUCUAGAACUGCUUGGCACAAAGAAAGCAGUCAACAACGCAAUGUGAACUGUCACUUGUAGUCACCUUCACAUCUGCCAGUAGAGCCUGACGCUUAGAUAAUCAUACAAUGGCUUCGCUGGAAAGAGAGCCUAUCUGGCCUCGGACUUUUGUACACUGUCUUUAUUCGCUGCAAAACAAACCUUAGGUUCACUGGUAGUCUCACUGGUGGUCUGAUUAAGCCAUCACGCUCCUCUCUCUUUUUUUUGAGAAGUGGCCCCACCACAGCUAUUUCACUGGCCUUGGACGCACAGCGAUCCUCCUGCCUCAGCCUCUCUAGUCCUGGCAUUACAGGACACCCCAGAAGCCCUCAUUGCCCAUUUCCAGACACUGGACGCCAGAAAGACAAAGAUCACAGAGACCGCGUGCUCCCUGCCUUCUGCACGGAGCCCAAGCUGAGCCCACAUCCUGAGAAACCAGAAAUGAAGGUGCCGAUGGAAGAGAGAAAGCACCAGUGGAGGAUGAGUCCCCAGAGUGGACGAGGGGUGGGGAAGCAGGCGGAGCGGGAAAAGGUUAGCGUGAGGACGAGUUGGAUGAGAAGCUGA